This 6055-nucleotide long non-coding RNA is filed under the name Cricetulus griseus (Chinese hamster). RNAcentral describes it as "lncRNA (ENSCGRG00015029652.1)". The record is from RNAcentral. Lineage: Eukaryota; Metazoa; Chordata; Mammalia; Rodentia; Cricetidae.
UUUAUUUUCUGUGUUCCAUAAUUUGUUUACACACACAAAAUAUCUGGUACAAAUUUUGGACCAUGUGAAACUUUGUACAUGAUAAAAAUUUAUAUUAUAAACAUAAAAUUGUUUCAUGAUCAAGCAUGUCACUUUUCUUUUUUUACUAUCUUUGAAAAAAUUUGCUUCCACAGCUUCCUAGAGAUAUUUGGUUAGAUGUUUCUAAAGCACAUCACAGAAUUGGUUUCCUAAGUUUGAUAGUCAAAGUCUUUGGGGGUUGUUUCUUCUAGUGUUGUAAAACAAUGUACUAGAUUUUAUUUUCCACGACUAGAUAACUGAACCACAUCUUUUUGUGUGUGAACUUUUCAUCUCCACAUUGCUCAUACACCAUAAUCCCCACACGAAUGUUUCUGGCUCUAGUCCAUUGUCAUUACUUUUCUGCUCCUCAGGUCCUAUGUAAGUGCUACACUUACUGCAAUCCUUUUGUUUGGGGUGAGGCUAGAGACAGGGUUUCUGUGUGUAGCUCUGGCUGUUCUGGAACUCAUUCUGUAGUCCAGGCUGACAUGAACUCAAAGAUCCACCUGACUCUGCUUUCGUGUGCUGGGUUUAAAGGCAUGUACCACCACUGUCUAGAGUUUAUUACAACCAUAUAAAGUCCCAAGUCUAAUAGGAAAAUGUACCUUGUAGCUAGUUUGUGUUUUAGAAUUAGUUUUGAAAUAUCAAGCAGCUAUUGAUUCAACUAAUGUUAGAAUUAAUUUGUGCCAGGCGUUGGUGGCGAAUACCUUUAAUCCCAGCACUCUGGAGGCAGAGGCAGACGGAUCUCUGUGAGUUCGAGGCCAGCCUGGUCUCCAGAGUGAGUGCCAGGAUAGGCUCCAAAGCUACACACAGAAACCCUGUCUCGAAGAACCAAAAAAAAAAAAAAAGAAUUAAUUUGUUUAAUUCCAAGAAAAAUUAUAUUUUUUCUUGGAAACUAAAUAAGGUUUUGCUAUAAGUAGCACAAAUAUAGAAAUUGUUCUUAGGGAAAUUGAUCAUUUUAGAAUGGUGAAAUUUUAUGCUUAUGAAUGAAUUAUAUAUAUAUAUAUAUUAUUUUAUUUAACAACUAUUAACAAAAAAAUUAGUUGUAUUUACUGUAUGUGUGAAUAUUUAUGUGUGUUGUCUGUUUUUUUUUUUUUGUGUGUGUGUGUGUGUGUAUGUGUGUGUGUGUGUACAUACCACAAAGUACUUGUGGCGGUCAGAGAACAACUUGUGGGAGUUGGUUUUUUCCUUCCACUAUCUGCAUCCUGGGGACUGAACUCAGGUUGUCUGACUGAGGGGUUGCUACCUGUACCUGCUGAGCCAUCUCUCAGUCGUGAAUUUUCUUUUUUGUCUUUCCAUAACAUUUUAUAAUUUUCUUUCUUUAUUUUUUGAGACAGGAUUUCUCUGUGUAGCUUUGUAGAUCAAGCUGGCCUCAAACUCACAUAGAUCCACCUGCUUCUGACUCUGGAGUUCUGGGAUUAAAGGUGUGUGCCACCACCAUCCAGCUUCAUAAUUUUCUCAAUAUACCUCUUCUCUUUAUUUUGUUAUAUUCAUUUCUAUGUACUUUAUAUUUGAGUUGCUUUUGUAAAUUAUAUUUUAAUGAAAUUUAUUGCUUUUUACUGAAUACAGUUUGUCUCUGAAUUCUGAUUUUAAAGUUAUCAGUGGCUCUAACUUCUUUCUAGUUUAUUUUAAAAUUUGCAAAAGAUUCUGUGAUAAUAUUUUCCCUUUGUUUUUGAGUUAUGAAACUCUCUUUACUGAUAAAUAAAAAUGUGAUACGAUUUUCUGAAUGUUUAAAGUGGGGACAAGGAUUUAUAGAGAUGCAUAGCCUAAGCGAUGGGCCUCCAUGGAUAAGCACAGAGAAUGUGUGCGUUUGUGUUUCUUGUGACUGCUCAUCAAAGGGCAUCCACUGAAAAACAAAGCCUUGAUAAUUAAAUGGACAGAAUAUCUCUUUGUGAGGAUAUUAACUUUUUUGCUUCUACCAACCCUAUGCUUUUAAAUGUUCAUGUGAGGACUGUGGUGCAGAAAUAGAAAUAGGAGCUGUAUAUAGGUCAGAGGCAUGAAUUAUCUCACCAAGGAUGGUGUGGCUAUUACCAUUUCUGAUUUCCUCACUUUCCAACAGCACAGACUGGUACUGGGAUCUGGUAAGUGGAAAUGUUCUCUAAGAGAACCAGAUGGACAUCUAGUAACAGCUUGAUUGCAAUGGAUUCAAUCCAGAAUGGAGUGUGAUUAGAUUUCCUAUUUGUAAUAAUUACUUUAGAAAUGAAUUGACCUUUCUAGACCUCUACAUUAUGCAGACCUUAUCAUAUGGGAUCUCAAAAAAGUCACACUUGUUUUGACCAAGAAACUAGGUUCAAAUAUAAGAAACACAGGUACCAGGCUAGAACUUCUAAACCACACUAUCCUUUUUAUAUACUCUUUCACUCUACAGACCUUGAGAUGAACAGAACAUGGAAUGACCCACCACAGGAUUAACUAUGACCAAGCAACAGUGAUGGCCAUCUUAGAGAACAGCUAACAUAUGACACCACUUCAAAAGCAGAAACAUUGCUUAGGAAACAAGCAGCAGAUGGAGGACUUCAAGGGGAAGAAACCCUUCUGACAAGAGACUAAACAAUGGUUUCAUUGGUUAAAUUGUCAUUGGUUAAAUAUGACCUCACAUAGCGCUACUUGGGGAGGACUGAUUUUAUUUCUGAUGAGUAAAAUGGGUGAAGAGUUUACAUAUAAGAUUCUUCAGGAAAAGAAUCCUAAGCAGGUAUUAAUCAGGACAAGAAUGAAGGACAAACUUAGUGGUAAAAGAAAGAAGUUAUUCUUCACUAGGACUUUGUCAAUAAUUAUGGGUGGGAAAUGCAGCAGUAUGUUCUUUCUUAUUUGUUGUUUACAUAUAUGUGUGUGUGAUGCAUGAUUUUAUAUAAUUAUGUGUAACUCAAUUGAUUGGGUAUAUGUUGAUUCAAGUUUUAUCUGGCAGGUUUUGUUUUUCACUCUUUAAUUACUACUUAUAUUUACAUAUCCAUCCCCCUUCUAGCCCUUGCCCUCCCAUCCUCCUAUAUUCCCCACCAACCUCCCCCCAGUCGAUCCCCCAACUCCUCCCCAGGGAUAGUGAGGCCCUCCACAGGGGACCUUCAAUGUCGUCAUAUCAUUUGGGGGAGGGCCUAGGCCCUUUUUGCUGUAUCUGGGCUGCAAUAGUAUCCCUCCACAGGGAAUGGGCUCCCAAAGUCUAUUUGUGCUCCAGGGUUAAAGACUGGCUCCACUGUUAGAGGUCCCUUAGACUGCCCUGGCCUCCUAGCUGGCACCCACAUGCUCAUUAGGUCAGGUCAACUGUUUUUGCGGGUUUCUUCAGCACCAUCUUGGCUCCUUUGCUUAUACCUCCUCCCUCUCCACAACUGGUCACAAAAAAAUAAACAUAAGCCUUUAUCUGGUAGCUGUUUGAAGCAGAGACAGGCACCCACAGCUGAGCACUGAACCAUACUCCUGGUAUCUGGCAGUUUUGAGAUCUGGAAGAUGAAAUAGGAAUUGAUUACAAUACUCACAUUUAUAGUAUGCACACUAAAAUUGGAAGGAUAUAGAGAUUAGCCUGGCAAGGUAACAGGUUGUACUUUCAUGUCAAUUGUGUGAUGGUGAGCUUUUAUUGUCAUAGGGAUUGAAUGAAGAAAGCACUAGUGUUAUAAUGAGGUGUGCUUUGGCGUGUGUCUGUGAGUUCUUUUUUAGAGAUUAAUUGAAGGAAAAAGAUUCAUCUUGAGUGUAAGAGACAUCCUCUUAUGGGAGGGGCUCCUGUACUGAGUGAGGUGGAAGAAGAAAGCCAUCUAGGUGUUGGUCAGUUGGUCUUUCUCUCCCUCUUCCUUCCCUCUUUCUUUCCUUCCUUCCUUCCUUCCUUCCUUCCUUCCUUCCUUCCUUCCUUCCUUCCUUCCUUUCUUUCUUUCUUUCUUUCUUUCUUUCUUUCUUUCUUUCUUUCUUUCUUUCUUUCUUUCUUCUGUUUCAUAAUCCAUCCAGAUGACAGCUGGCAGCAAUCUGAACCAUGACAGACUGUGCCCCAAACCAUGAACCCAAAAUAUCCUCAUUCGCUAAAGUCACUUCUAGCCAUACAUUUGGUCACAGCCAUGGGAAAAACAACUACAAAGAGAAGGGAUUUUUUUAUGUAACAUCUUGUUUUCCAUUAUAACAGCUUUCAAGGGAGCAGGUGUGUAAAGAUGUACUCCUAUCAUUAUAAAUUUUGUUAUUUGCUUUUGGCUGGAUUUCCAGUAUCUGAACAUUCUUUACAGAAAAAUCCAACCCACCCUUCAAAACCCAGUAGGGAUCUACAAAUAUCUGCACUGACAAUACUCUCUGAGCUUGUGCCCUGCAGUGGCUCCGAAAUGUGCUCUGUUUAUUGACUAUGAUAUCUUAAGUUUUUGAAUUUCUAAGUAUGGUCUUACUGCUUUUAGUUAAAUAUUGCUUGCUUUAUAAACAAACAUCAUUGUAUGAUCAGCAAGUACAUAGGAUACUUUUCAAAUAGAACUACUUUUUGAUGUUAGGAUUUGGGCUAUGAGAGUCUAAAAUAAGGCAAGUAUUAGCUCUUUUUUAGUAAAACCUUAAUAAAUAAAAACUAACUCUGGGCAUGGUAUUAAGUUAAUAAUCUAUAGUUGUGCCUGAAGCUGAACACAGCAGUAUAAAUCCAAGUUUUCCAGAGGAAGGAAAAAUAGAUUUACUACUGUCUGUGCUCCUAUAUGAUUUAAAUUUUCAAAAUGUUAGGCUUCCUACCUAUAGAGGACUUACAUAUUAGUUGGUUGUACAAUUUGCUUCCCCUGGAGACAAAAGAGUUCUAUGUAAAUAAGUAGGUGAUUGUAAAGUAUGGCAUGGCAGGACAUCUCUCCUGUAUUUCCAGACCUGGAAAGGGUAGGGCUAAGCAUAGACUGUUUCAUUACACCAUGAAAGAACAAUGAAGAACUAUUGAAUGUUUAUAUGUCUAAAUAAAAUUUUUGAAUAAAGUGAUUACCUGAAGGCAGUAUUUGAAACCAUUGAAUGAUGGGGUUUACCAAUCCUCAUAUACUCAAAGCACAGAGCACUGUUAUCCAGGAGGAUAAAUUGGAGACAUAUGGAUGAAUAAGUCUGAGUUACUGAGAGAAUGAUAGCAGGGGUAUGAAAUGUGAGAAUCCAGUGUCCAUGUGCUGAUAUUUCCCAUUGCAGUCUGCGAUACUCCUAUAGAGUUGGAAUGCUUGUGGCCAUUUUAUUAAAAUCACUUCUAAAAUAUUACAUUCUUUUCCUAUUUUUAAAAGAGAAGCAUAGUUAUUAGUAGAUAAUGUGGGGAGGUCAGAAGAAAAUAAAAGUUAGAACUCUGAUUGUCCUUGGCCAGCAUUAUUUGUUUGUUUGUUUGUUUGUUUGUUUUGUUUUGUUUUUUUGCAUGAACAAUGUCACGGCAUGUGGAUCACAUAUAGUUAAAAUUUGGGGAAAGUGAUCCCUCUUACUCAUCCUUAUAUCUCUAGUAAUGGCAAAUUUCUACUUGAUUUUCUUAUGGAAUCUUUGCCUUAUUUCUGUUACUUGAGUCAUGCUGUUGGCUUUAUGUUGCUAGCAAAUAUUUCAUGGUGGAAAAAAAAAGGUUUGAUGAAUUUCUUUGGACAUGACAUUUUUCUCAUUUUCAGAUUGCUACACAGUAGUGAAAUUACCCAGUCAAAGCCAGCCACCUCUUAUCUGAUGCACUGGCUGGCUCCUAGAAACUUAAUCAUCUCCAGCGUCACCUUUUUAAUAAUAAAAUAUAUAAUGCCAAUCCAUCUUCCAGUCCUGAAAACAGGUGCCCUCUACUUGUAAAGGACUUUCAUGUUAUGCAUGGCAUGGGUUAGCUGAAGCGAUCACCCUGUUAACCCUCAUGCAGGCAACUUGAACAUAAACGUUUCAUCUCUUCCCCCAAGGAGCCUUGCUUGACAGCAGCAACAUGAGUAGAUUUCUACCCAGACAUUUCCUGGCAGUCUCUUCACUAGCAGAGAUUGUAAAAGCAGUCGUGCAUAAAGGGAAAGAAAAAAUGACUCUAUAAUCUGAAUCCCUUUUAAAAACUAGUAUAUAACAAUUUUACACAAUAGUGGGGCUCCUUAUG